UUUAUCGCAGACAGCGCUGCCACCUAAUGCGACAUGAUAAUAAACGCGGCGCUUGUGGGCUAUUUGAUUAGAAGCAAGUGAAAAAAAUGCAUAUAUAAGCAACCACAAGAGUGUAAGCGAGAAGAAGAUAACCUGAUGGCUGUAUAUUUUAGUAUGGUUGUUUAUCUGCUAUAAAAGAAAUGAUUUGUUUUGUUUUACAUGUUAAGGUGGCAACGCUGCGUAGUUAAUUGUUUUUAUUUAUACUGACGUCGUGGUGUAGCAUUGCAGGGGCAGAGUGGUACAGGGCAGCGCAGUUCUGUCUGCCAAACAGAUGACAUUCAUUUGAGUAGAAGUAGUAGAGAACAAAAAAAUCGGAAUAAAUACUUGACCGUAAAUAGAAAUAUUGAAAAUAAGUGUGCAAGCAAGAGAAAUUAUGAGGGAAAUGGUAGAAAAUUGCAUGCAGUACUUUGCGUAUUCAAUUAUAAGUGAAAAUAGCGCAGUCCAGCUAAUUAAAAAAUGAGAAAUUGCAGGAAAUUUUCGUAGGUAUAUUAUACGACGGAUUUUUUUUGUUUGUUUGUUAAAAAGCUACUUUGGGGAGUGUAUACAUAAUAUAUUGGAGGCUGGUACUUCCGUCGCUAUCGCAACAUUAAAACAGUGCCGUCUGGUGAACCUUGAAUAAAUGUAAAAAAAAACAAUGCAAAUACAAGUUAUAAAAUAGUGGACAAAAUAUUAAGAAGGCAUCAGCAUAUAAACGACCGAAACAGACAGCUUUCGAUCUUGGGCAUCUGUCUGGAUACUCCUGGGAGCACUGAACAAAAAAUAUUUGGGAUGUUAAUUUAUGCAAAAUACGAUGGCAGGCAC
Rhagoletis pomonella (apple maggot) is the source of this 840-nucleotide long non-coding RNA. RefSeq lists it as uncharacterized. NCBI's taxonomy places the organism in Eukaryota, Metazoa, Arthropoda, Insecta, Diptera, Tephritidae. The transcript is spliced from 3 exons. The record is from RefSeq and is a predicted model, not a curated record.